Molecule: ribosomal RNA, 518 nt
Filed under: Micrococcus luteus
Lineage: Bacteria; Bacillati; Actinomycetota; Actinomycetes; Micrococcales; Micrococcaceae
Description: bacterial SSU rRNA
Rfam family: Bacterial small subunit ribosomal RNA
Source: RNAcentral
UAACACGUGAGUAACCUGCCCUUAACUCUGGGAUAAGCCUGGGAAACUAGGUCUAAUACCGGAUAGGAGCGCCUACCGCAUGGUGGGUGUUGGAAAGAUUUAUCGGUUUUGGAUGGACUCGCGGCCUAUCAGCUUGUUGGUGAGGUAAUGGCUCACCAAGGCGACGACGGGUAGCCGGCCUGAGAGGGUGACCGGCCACACUGGGACUGAGACACGGCCCAGACUCCUACGGGAGGCAGCAGUGGGGAAUAUUGCACAAUGGGCGAAAGCCUGAUGCAGCGACGCCGCGUGAGGGAUGACGGCCUUCGGGUUGUAAACCUCUUUCAGUAGGGAAGAAGCGAAAGUGACGGUACCUGCAGAAGAAGCACCGGCUAACUACGUGCCAGCAGCCGCGGUAAUACGUAGGGUGCGAGCGUUAUCCGGAAUUAUUGGGCGUAAAGAGCUCGUAGGCGGUUUGUCGCGUCUGUCGUGAAAGUCCGGGGCUUAACCCCGGAUCUGCGGUGGGUACGGGCAGACUA